GGCUUUCUUCGCGGCGGAGCUCGACCGCCCACCCAGGUACUGACCGAGUUCAUCGACACUCAUCGUGAGGAGUUCGGGGUCGAGCCGAUCUGUCGAGUGCUGUGCGAGCACGGCGUCAAGAUCGCCCCG
This is a regulatory RNA element of Luteipulveratus sp., 129 nucleotides long. It matches the Rfam family "ALIL pseudoknot". NCBI's taxonomy places the organism in Bacteria, Bacillati, Actinomycetota, Actinomycetes, Micrococcales, Dermacoccaceae. The record is from Rfam.